This 472-nucleotide ribosomal RNA is filed under the name uncultured organism. RNAcentral describes it as "partial 16S ribosomal RNA". It matches the Rfam family "Bacterial small subunit ribosomal RNA", at positions 333 to 797 of the family's 1533-position model. The record is from RNAcentral.
ACACUCCUGCGGGAGGCAGCAGUGGGGAAUAUUGCACAAUGGGCGCAAGCCUGAUGCAGCCAUGCCGCGUGUAUGAAGAAGGCCUUCGGGUUGUAAAGUACUUUCAGCGGGGAGGAAGGCGAUAAGGUUAAUAACCUUGUCGAUUGACGUUACCCGCAGAAGAAGCACCGGCUAACUCCGUGCCAGCAGCCGCGGUAAUACGGAGGGUGCAAGCGUUAAUCGGAAUUACUGGGCGUAAAGCGCACGCAGGCGGUCUGUCAAGUCGGAUGUGAAAUCCCCAGGCUCAACCUGGGAACUGCAUUCGAAACUGGCAGGCUAGAGUCUUGGAGAGGGGGGUAGAAUUCCAGGUGUAGCGGUGAAAUGCGUAGAGAUCUGGAGGAAUACCGGUGGCGAAGGCGGCCCCCUGGACAAAGACUGACGCUCAGGUGCGAAAGCGUGGGGAGCAAACAGGAUUAGAAACCCGUGUAGUCCC